Molecule: long non-coding RNA, 413 nt
Organism: Orbicella faveolata
Lineage: Eukaryota; Metazoa; Cnidaria; Anthozoa; Scleractinia; Merulinidae
Source: RefSeq, a predicted model, not a curated record
UCCUGGGUAGAAUAUACCUGAGGUUUACAGUCUAAUAGUCAUGCCAACAUGUUAACUUUGUAACAUCCUGGGUAGAAUAUACCUGAAGUUUACAAUCUUAUGUUCAUAUCUCUCUCUAUAGAUCUCUUAUCAGCAGUUGGAGGAACUUGUCUAAAGUUUACUAACCAAAGGUAUGGCUAAGUUGUGCAGCAGUCAUUUUUCACAGCCACACGAGAAAAGCCUGGAAAAGCGAAAUCGGAAAGAUUUCCUAAAGGUUAUUUUGCACACUCUCAUUGACGCCAUCAAUACGACGACAACGAUUCACAAUCCAAAAAAAAUCCUAUGCGAAAACCUAGAGCUUCAAUCGAGGAAGGGGAAUCGGCGAUCAAAGUACGGAAUGCUCUCUACGAGCCUUGAGAAAAGGCGCAAACGAA